Molecule: ribosomal RNA, 505 nt
Filed under: uncultured bacterium
Lineage: Bacteria
Description: partial 16S ribosomal RNA
Rfam family: Bacterial small subunit ribosomal RNA
Source: RNAcentral
GACGAACGCUGGCGGCGUGCCUAAUACAUGCAAGUCGAACGCACAGUUUAUAUCGUAGCUUGCUACACCAUAGACUGUGAGUUGCGAACGGGUGAGUAACGCGUAGGUAACCUGCCUGGUAGCGGGGGAUAACUAUUGGAAACGAUAGCUAAUACCGCAUAAUAUUAAUUAUUGCAUGAUAAUUAAUUGAAAGGUGCAAUUGCACCACUACCAGAUGGACCUGCGUUGUAUUAGCUAGUAGGUGAGGUAACGGCUCACCUAGGCGACGAUACAUAGCCGACCUGAGAGGGUGAUCGGCCACACUGGGACUGAGACACGGCCCAGACUCCUACGGGAGGCAGCAGUAGGGAAUCUUCGGCAAUGGACGAAAGUCUGACCGAGCAACGCCGCGGGAGUGAAGAAGGGUGUCGGAUCGUAAAGCUCGGUUGUAAGAGAAGAACGGGUGUGAGAGUGGAAAGUUCACACUGUGACGGUAGCUUACCAGAAAGGGACGGCUAACUACGUG